AGAGCGAACGCUGGCGGCAGGCCUAACACAUGCAAGUCGAACGGACUCUUCGGAGUUAGUGGCGGACGGGUGAGUAACACGUGGGAACGUGCCUUUAGGUUCGGAAUAGCUCCUGGAAACGGGUGGUAAUACCGAAUGUGCCCUUCGGGGGAAAGAUUUAUCGCCUUUAGAGCGGCCCGCGUCUGAUUAGCUUGUUGGUGAGGUAAUGGCUCACCAAGGCUACGAUCAGUAGCUGGUCUGAGAGGAUGACCAGCCACAUUGGGACUGAGACACGGCCCAGACUCCUACGGGAGGCAGCAGUGGGGAAUAUUGGACAAUGGGCGAAAGCCUGAUCCAGCCAUGCCGCGUGUGUGAAGAAGGUCUUCGGAUUGUAAAGCACUUUAAGUUGGGAGGAAGGGUUGUAACCUAAUACGUUGCAAC
RNAcentral lists this ribosomal RNA (420 nucleotides) under uncultured soil bacterium. RNAcentral describes it as "bacterial SSU rRNA". It matches the Rfam family "Bacterial small subunit ribosomal RNA", at positions 26 to 473 of the family's 1533-position model. The record is from RNAcentral.